RNAcentral lists this unclassified non-coding RNA (1045 nucleotides) under Hevea brasiliensis (rubber tree). Lineage: Eukaryota; Viridiplantae; Streptophyta; Magnoliopsida; Malpighiales; Euphorbiaceae. The record is from RNAcentral.
GCUCUGCUGAACAUAUCUCUUAUGUUCAGUGAUUCUGUCUCCACUUUAGCCUUCUUAGUUUGUUUCCCAGUUCUCUUUGAUUUACUGUCAGUCUUUCCCUUUUCCUGUAUGAGAUUAGAAGAUGCUGGGUUAUUUUCAGCAGCCGUCAAACAAAUUUCAGUACCUGGUACUUUACUAGCUGCCUCCAGUAAAUUCAAUUUCAAAUGAUUACACAAAAGCUUCAACCAGGGCUCAUCCUUCAAGUAUUCCCCCAAUAUUGUGACAGCAUCAGUCAAUGUACUCUUUUCAUCUUGAGCAGCAUAGUUUUUGUCCAAUGAGGGUAGAGCCUGUUUUAAUUGGCAGACCUUGCAAGACAACCAUGAUAACACCUUUGAAUCAUCAAGGCGGAAAAACUUUGAAGAGCCAAUUUCUUUGACCUCGCACACUAUUUGCAUACAAUUCUCUGCAAUGGACAUUAAAUGAUGAUAUCCAGGACAGCCAUUAAUGAAGAUUAUCUCAUCUAAUUGUCUGAACUUCCCAGGAUCAUCCCCUUUCUUCAUUCUAGCUUCCUCAAAAAUAGGCAACAAAAUGAAGACCGGAUCAACUGGAGUGGCAGAAUAUAGGCACCCAUCUUCACAAACAUAAUCCCCCAGAAACCAAGAGGUGUAACAUUGCUUGAACCAGUGAAGUUCUUGGAGCACUCCAUUGAUAAGAAGAUAGCAUGUUGUCUUUCCUGAUUUUGGAUGUUGAAGUGGUAAUAAAUGACCUAAACCAUCUUCAAUUGCACUAGGUGCAAUGAGAAGACGAGUUUCAUUAGUGCCUUCCCACCAAGCCAUUUCAACCUUAUGCCACUGGAGCUUGAAGAAGACAGGACCUGGAUUUAGAUGAAUUUGAAUUUGAGAUGAUGAAUCUAUGUUGUUUUCGUGAAGAAUGGAUGGAACCAAGACAAAGAACAACAGACUCUUGAGUGAGAAAUGAAAUUUGGGUAAAACCGCGAGGAUUAGCAGUAAGAAUCAGUGGAGGACAGUGAGAAAUAGGAGCUCAACUCCCAAAACCUGCUUUUUAG